This is a long non-coding RNA of Ailuropoda melanoleuca (giant panda), 6682 nucleotides long. RefSeq lists it as uncharacterized. The transcript is spliced from 3 exons. The record is from RefSeq and is a predicted model, not a curated record. Lineage: Eukaryota; Metazoa; Chordata; Mammalia; Carnivora; Ursidae.
GGUGCGGCGCGCGGGCCCUCCUCCCGCACGGGCGGCCCUGGAAGCGGGUCUCAGGCCCUGGGUUUGCAGGUUCUUGAGACCCUUCCUGCUUCGGCUUCAGGGCGCCUUAGCGGUCCAGCUUUUGCCCUUCGCGCGGCCCGGCGGUAACAGGUUAGCAUCCCUGAGGCGUCCUCUUCCCGUUGGCUGCGUGGGAGCCGUCCGCUCUCCUAGGCAAGCCGGCGGCGCUAAGUACUGCCCUCCCGGAGACCCCGGCUCCACCCACUCUACCUGAGGGGCAGAAAGGGCCUAGGAGGCUUCAUCGUGGUGUGUACCGUGGUGUGCGGUAUUGUAGAAGGAGCGCUGUGUUCCAGCCUUCGCUGCCUCCCCUGUAAAGUAGGGAUAACGAAGUAACACAUGUGUUAAGAAUCCAUGCGCAAUAAAUGCCUGAUAGACUGAGUGGAGACACACACAGCCCGGCCUUUCUUGAUUCAGGCUGAUGCAGUGGCCGACCAGACGUUCCCCCCCCCCUUUAAUUCUGUGGAGGAAGUUUUGGGUUACCUUACUCCCCACUAUUUGUUCUCAAACAUCUCUAAAGAGAAGCCUGCAUAAAAUUAGGAAUUGGAGCACCCUCAGCCCACACACAUCUGCUCCUAGAGCCGUUCUUGUCAGGUAGUUUGUUACUUUGGUGGCCCCGCUGAAGCUUGCCUCGUCACAGUACAACCUUAUGUGGUUGUCGACCCCGGAACCUGGACUGGACCUGUGACUCGUUUUAACCAAUGGAAGAAUGUGGCAGAAGUGACUGUGCCAAUUACAGAUAUGAGCUUUGAGAAUACCUGGUAACCUUGAUAAUCCCGAGCUGCUCACAGAGACCACAUGGAGAGGGAAAGGCCCUGAGACUACAUGGAGGAAAACUAAGGACCCAGUUAUCACCAAAAACUGAGGUCCCAGACACGUGAACCUGAUGAACCUAACUCAGCUGAGGGACCAGUCAUUGAGGAGAGAAGCCAUCUAGGUUGUUCCAGCCAUCUGAGCAAUCCUCAUUACCUAAAAUAGAGCUCCAGAAGCAUGUCUGUUGGACUCCUCACACCUUAUCACCAACACUCUGUGGCUGUUGUACCUGAAAUCCCAUGCCAUCUUUUUCUCCACUAGGCCUUUCAAGUGGCCACUACCACCUGGAAAUUUUAAUGGCAAUGGCAAAGAAUUCCAAUGGCAAAGAAUUCCUGGAACUGCUGUAACUGCAUGGCCAAGGAGUGGACCAUUUCAAAAUAUGGUGCAUUUGCAUAACUUCUUAAGAAGACGCCUGUGUAACUAAGCAACCAAGUAUGUUUUCUCGAAGCUACAGUGAGCUCAAAAAUAUACCACCUUGCAGUUGUUUUGCUUCCUUCCCCUUGUCUCUAACUUUUGCUUUGGGAUAGCACCUCUCAUUAAGACUGUACCAUGACACCUUUGCCUCUUGCUCUGUUCUCAAGGAAAUCCAGGCAAGAAAAUUUCCCAGGAUCUUCUCCUUCAGAAAGGUAAAAAGCAGUGCUGGGAAUUUAUGUAUAAUAAGCAUUCCAGGUGAGUCUUAUGAUCGGACAGGUAUGGCUGACAUGACCUUAAAGCAUCCUCAGGCUUCAGAUCUCACAUCAACAGGAAAUGAGCUGCUCACGUUGUGCAGAAUUCAGAAGAGGAAUCCGUGCUGGGAACCCUUUAGAUGUGGCCCUGCAGGACGUUGAACAAGAGAGAUGAGCACAGAGAGUAGCCUGGAGGCAGUGAGAUGGACUGAGCAAGGAUGUUGUCUGCUGUCAAACCAAAGAGCACUUGCUGCUCCUGUCUUGCAGGGCGGUAGUGUGCACUGUGAACUGGUGGUUACCUCUUGAUGGUCUCUCUCUCUCUCCUGUUUCAGGUGUGAGUUUUUAUUGAGUGAGGUCUUCCAUCCUUCUUCCAGCAAUUUGUUUGUGAGUGUUAUUUAUAUGUUGCUGGAUGAUGGGGAGCCACAUCUGGACCUAAAUUAGAAGAAUGCAGCUAGCUUACAACUAAAGGAACCUCCCCCCACCCCCAAACACACACACACACACACCCACACACACACACACACACACACACAUCUUCUUGCAGCAGACAGGGCAUGACUUGAGCAUUUCUGUUUGGGGAAGGGAUGUUCUAAUUUCUGUGCCCCCAGAAGCCUAUCCUGAGACAAAGACUUGAAUGCAAGUAAUUUAUUUGGGAGAUUUAAAAAAUAUAUACUGGUAGAGGGGUGCGUGGGUGGCUCAGUCAGUUAAGUGUCUGCCUUCAGCUCAAGUCAUGAUCUUGGGGUCCUGGGGUCAAGCCCCAUGUUGGGCUCCCUGCUCAAUGGGGAGUCUCCUUCUCCCUCUCUCUCUGCCCCUGCUCCUGUUCUCUCUCUCUCUCUCUCAAAUAAAGAAAAUCUUUUUAAAAAAUACUGGUAGAGGAGUGGGAAAGUGAGAGAAAGUAAGGCAACCAUUAUAGGGUGCAUUAUCAAGUCAGUUACCAUUGUGUAUGGUUGGGACUUCAUCCCAUGGGAAACUCUGGGAACCAGUGUUGAACAUGUGCUACAGUGUUAAUCCACUACAAGGAGUCAGGGAGCUGGGGUGUCCAUACAUCAAGUCCCAUCAGUCAUUGGUUGAGAGGAGCUCCCAGGGAGGAAGACAUAUUAAUUCCUCUGCACUUGUGGCCUGCUGUGUGACAGAGACAAAGUCGGGAAGAAUCCGAGAAAGCCAUUUUAUAAAGAAGCGCGCAUGCUGGCAGCUGGAAACCGGGCCAGUAUGCACAAGAGUGGUAAGGAUAAGGGGAUAUGGGCAAGGCAGCGACAGCAUCUGCUGCAAGAACUCAGACGGUCUCUGGCCACUGAUCCACCAGCUAUUACCUUAAAUGGGGAUAUUCAUUUAAAUUGUAGGCCCAUAUGUGAGUGCUGGCCAGUUAAAGAAGUAAAAUGCAAACAGUAUCUGAUCCUGCUUUUUAGAAUUGCCCUUCUCCCAUUCCAUAUGAUUCUGGGGGGACUUUCCCUCAAAAGGCCUCUCUCCCCUGUCAUAGGGCAUACAAAUAACCCCAGCAGACAAGUCAUUGGAGUUAUUGUAGUAGAUACUUUUGGUGCCCCCGUCAGAUCCCCUUUACUGGCCAGUGCACCCAUCCUGCAAUUAAGGUGAGUGUUGCCACAAGAGGCUGACAGCUGCAUUUUUCUUCAGAGAAUUGCCCUCAGGAGGAAGGGGCCAAUUUGGCUGGGAUAUUACCCCCUCCCACCAGGGAGCGUUCCACAUCUAAAAGGAGAUACAAAAGACAGCUCCUCUGUCUCAUGGGAAGGUGGGGUGGACAAUUCUGCAGUGCAGUUUUUGCAUCAGAACUCCCCCAAGACAUCAGCUGGAUCCUCACCUUUGCAGUUUCUUCCCUGAGCUCCCCUGCUUCCCUUGCUCCCUUAUAGGAUUUUCCUGAGAGCACUCCUCAGUUACUCAGGGGCAAGUCUCAGGCUCUGCUUCUUGGAUGCCCAGCUAGGACCCAUUCAGUGGGACGCAAUGAUGAAUUGGCCCAAAGGAAGACACAUGGCCCCAGCAUAGCUGUAGCCUUUGGGGAUAUCUUGGAAAGCAGAUCUGUCUUUCUUUAAGGUUAUGAGCUGUUUGUAAGAACGCUGUAGUAGAUACAUGUUCACUCCCUGAAGUGUACUUCACUCUACUUCUGGUAAUAUUACAUUGAUUUUGGAGGAAGGGAGAAAGAACUACUUCUUUCCCUUAUUCUCAGUUCUUCUUCUUCUUUAUUUAUCUCAUUUUUUUUACAUAUAACAAUCUCAAAGCCUUUUAUUAAUUCUCUGGGAUCUCAGAUGUUUAUCUAUGCUUUACAUCUUAUGAUAUACCUAUUUCUGCUAUGGUAGUUUCUAUGGUUCUAAUUUGAGCUCAAAAGCAAAAAUGAACUAAUAUUUUAGAAAUAAUAUGACAAAAAAAGCAUAACCUGAUUUAUCUCAACUUUAUAUUACUUUUUUCAAAAAUUUUCAAUUUUGACAUCCUUCCUGUCCCUUGUAGAAAUACAUUUUAAUUUUUUUGAAAUGGAAUAUUUUCUGAUUUUCUGAUUAAAAAUCAACUGAUUUUCAUAAUUAAAAGUUUUAAUGGAAAGUUUUGAAGGAUAAUGUGGAAGUUCUCAUUGACACCUCUACUACCAGAUAUCUACUAUUAACACAUAGAUUAGUGUUUUCAUGCAUAUGCAGAUCUAUACAUAUAAGUACUUAUAUUUUCAACAAAAUGAAAAUAAUCUAAAUCUCUGCAUGUAUAUUUAAAAACCAAUAUUAUUUUAAUAAGUUUUUUUUUACAGUUAUUAUUCUGUAGAUUUGAGUUUAGUCAGGAAAAAAAUGGGUAUUUUAAGCUGGUGGUUUGCAGCUCUUGGAGUAGGGGGUUGGAAAAAGAUCUAAACUUAUAAUUUCAUUACACGUUAUUCUCAGUUCUUCUACUUUGGGUGAAGGUGACUUCUUUUUGGGUCCAUAGAUGGGCAUAUGACCCACUGUAACCAAUCACAUUCAAUGGCCACAGAGAUUUUUUGGGGUGGUCUUGUGACCCAGUCAGAGCCACUGAAAUAUGGCUUGAGAGAGAAAAAUUAUUUUCCCCCCUGGUUAGAGCAUCAAGGAUGAAGGGAACCUAGGGCUACCUGGGAGGCCAUCAUGAGGAACCUGAGUAUAAAACCAACACAGCAGAAGGCAGGAAGGGUGAAAUGAGUCCUACUUUGACAAUGUUUGAACUCUUGAUUCAAGCUCCGCUCAAGGACAGUCUUACCUUAGAUUAUACCUCUUCGAUUUCACAGGCUAAUGAGCUCUCUUUCUUGUUUAAACCAGUUUGGGUUGGGUUUUAUAACACUUAAAACCAAAGCAGUUAUGACAGAUGCAAUGAUGAUAAGCCUGCAGCUACAAGAAAACAUAUUGCUACCAUGUGCAGAGACCCUGGGUGACAAUGAAACCUACACAUAAAAAAGAACUAAGAGAGGGAGAGAGAACAAGCAUUUGUGGGCAUAUCUAAGCACGGGGAUCCUGCCAUUCCUGGAGCAUAUUUUUCCUUUGGGUUCUCAGUUAUUUGAACCAACAAAUUCACUUUGCUUAAAGGAAUAAGAGUUAAGCUUUUUAACUUUCAAAGGAAAGAGUUUUGACUAACACAAUACCUUUUUCUCAAUUUUCCUUUGAGUCAUUUUGUUUUUUCUUUAUUGAGUUGCAGUCACUCUUUAUAUAUUUUAGACAUUGAUCUUUUGCCCAUUGUUUACUGUAAAUAAUUUAUUCCAAUCCACCACUUGUCUUUACUUUGUUUAUGAUAUUUCUCAUUAUCUAGAAGAUUGUAGUUUUAUCGGGUCUAGAUCAACUAACCUUUAUCAUUUUUGGAUUAUUAAACAUGAUUCCUUUGGUUGAGAGUGUUGGAAACCCAACUCAAUUUAGUUCAAAUAAAAAGACAAUUUAUUGGCUAACAAAAUUUGAAAUUCUAGUUGUAUUUGGUCCUGAGCCACAACUAGAAUCAUAAUUCCAACAAUGUCAUUAAGAUAAUUUCUCUCUUAGUCUAUGAGUUCUCUGGGCUUCUUUCCUAUUAAAGCUCCCUUUGCCUUGUUGGAAACAUGGCCUAUAUUCUUGCAUUUGAUGGUUCCAACGAAGAGAGGAAGAGCGUGUGAUGGUUUAGGCAUAGGAAUCCCGGUAGAGCCUGUUAACCUGUUAUGGGCACUCUGACCAAUAUGUAUUAUUUAUCGAUUCCUGUGUCUGAUGGCUGGAUCAGUCAUGUCAAACUAUCCAGAAUGUGUUCCACAUGGGUUGUAUGAGUUUUGUUAUGGGAGAAUGAAGGAAAGGAAAACCUGGUAAGCAUAGAGUAGCUAUCAACUCUGCCUCUUGUGUCUUGUUUGUGAAAACUUUCUCCCCAAAUGGUUCUAUAUAUUUAUAUGUGUAUGUGUGUGUAUUUAUACCUUUUUAAUUCUCUCAUAUUUUUUACUUUUAAAAAAUAUGUGGGGUACCAGGCUGGCUCAGUCAGUGGAGCACGUGACUCGAUGGGUUGUGGGUUCAAACCCCACAUUGGGUGUAGAGAUUACUUAAAAAUAAAAUCUUUAAAAAAAUGUGUAUUUUUACUUUAGACCUAUAUUCCACCUAGAAAGUACCCUUAUUGAUGGCACAAGGUAGGAAAUCUAACUUAAUUUUUUCCCAUAUGUAAAACCUAUUAUCUCAAAACCAUAUGUUGGGUUUCCCCACCAGUUAGAAAUGACACAUACAUUUCAAACUGAAUUCUACAUUUAUGUGAGUCUGUUUCUCGACUAGGCAUUGCUCCAUGAUCUGGCUUUCUAUUUCUGUAACAAUACAAUGUUGUUCAAAUAACAGUUAACUUCUUUGGGUGGUACUGUUUCUUUGCUUGGUAUUAAACAACUUCUAACAGGCAUGUUUUGGGCUAUUCACUUUGCUCCUAUUCUUCAUUAAUCUGAUUCUAUCAAUUUUUUUUAGAUCUAUUCAAUAAUUUUAAAUUUCAUUUUAAAUUGUUAAUUUUUAGCAAUGCAACAAAUGAAAAUGGUUUAAAAGGUAAAAUAGCAUUACAAAGCUCAUAAUGAAAAGCAUAACCCCCCUUCCUGAUCCCACCCAACCCGCAUGCUGAAAUUAUUUUGCCUGGUAUUUAUAUCCUUCUUUUUUUUAAAGAUUUUAUUUAGGGAGAGAGAGAGAGAGAGAGAGAGCACGCGCACAAGCAGGGGAAGGGGCAGAGGGAGAGGGAGAAGUAGA